Molecule: long non-coding RNA, 808 nt
Filed under: Amborella trichopoda
Lineage: Eukaryota; Viridiplantae; Streptophyta; Magnoliopsida; Amborellales; Amborellaceae
Description: long non-coding RNA (ATRI_LNC002812)
Source: RNAcentral
CCGAAGUUUCAUACUGAAAAAUCCCACUUAACUAAGGCCCUUUGAAUGCGGGAGGAGAUACAUAAUAUGCUACCACAAGAGCAUGCGCAAUAAUUGAAAUCCACCUUUUUUUUUUUUUUUGACAAGAGUACCGAAUAUUAUUAGAUAAGUGGAAUAAUUAUAAUGACAAAGUUACAACAAAGUAGAAGAAACAACCAAAGAAUCUAAUGAAUUACCCUUCUUGGCUAAAUCAUUUGCCAUGGAAUUUGCUUCUAGGUAGAUAUGGUUGAAAGUAAAACUGCUGCCCGAAGAUAAAUCCUGAAUUUGCAGCCAUAAAGAGUGAAUCCACUAACGGCGGUCUAGAUAAACAGUUGCAUCAGUUGAUAAUAUUAAUCGAGUCUCCUUCGAUUAAUAAACAACUCCCCAAGCCUUUCUCUUUCCAAUCAAGAAUCCUUGCAGCAAAGCGGCCAUCUCUGCAUGAUUAGCAGUGACAUCUCCAUAAGGGGUAGGAUAGCAAAAGAUCAGAGUACCCUGAUAAUCUCUACAUAUGCCUCCCACACCCCCCCCGCGAAGUCCAGAAUUACCAAAAAAAAAAAAAAGAACCAUCAAAAUUAAAUUUAUAGCAACCCAAAAACGGUGGAACCCAUAUACACCGAGAUCUUACCCGAAAAUAAUUCUGAAGAAGCACAUAAGAAGGGAGAAACAAAAGCACAGUUAUUUGUUACAUUGCCCAACACCACAGAUGAUAAGGAUAUGGACAGUGCAGCAAAAAGUGGUGAUCAACCGUCUCCGCAUUUUCUUUACAAAAUAAACCCCCAUUAACAAUGGU